CCCAGCUUCUGGAAGAUGUGAUGGACACGUGCAUGUGAAUGCUGUCUACAAACUCAGGGAGCUGGUACAAUUCAUAGGAAGAAUAGUUUCUGAAGACAUUCUGAGGGUCUUGGAAGAAGAUGGAGUGAGGACAAUCGUCUCUUCCCUAUGUCCCCAUGGAUCUGAAAAAAAAAAUGUGGCAUUGUUGAGCUCAACUUGAGAGAAAAUCACCCAAGAACUGCUCAUGAGGUUCCUGUAGCAGCUUGCCACUUCUGCGGCCCACCUCAGUCCAGUUGGUGAGUGUGGAGCUUUCUUCAGGAUUACACUAUGGCUUCUAGGAUUCUGCUUGCUGAAAGGACUGGUCUGUAGCUGCUAAGUUGUGUUUGGUGUUUGCUAUGGGGCUGAAUUGCUACCCAAAAAGAUUGAACUCACCCCCAAAGAAAUAAUUACUGAACAGGUGCACUUCCCUCAUAUCCUAAUAACUUUCCUCUUCCACUACCUCUGCUGGCUGAUGGGCUAUAGGAGAAAUUGAACCCUUACUAAAAGUUGCAAAAAAAUGUAUGCCUACAUUCAUGUUUUACUUUCUCACUGUUCCUAUAGCUUUAAUAAUCUUGGCUCUCCACCUACCCCAGAGUCCCAAGUUUUCGUCUCUCUUUACUUUCCUGUUCUCUGGUUUUGCUUCAUGACCCUCCAUUCCUUCCCAGUGAUUCAUAUCUUUCUGCACAAUAUUUUGAUUUUAUUCCAUUCACCCCUUACAGUGUUACUGGAUUUUAAAUAAUGAUUUGUCUGGGGUAUAAAUGGUAUAUCUAUAUCUAAAUAUCUAUAUCUAUAUUUAUAUCUAAUCUCCAUCAGUUGUGAUUGCAUCCUCAAUUUGCAUUGCUCUCUCAGCCUGAACAUAGAGAUUGACCCUAUUGUGUCUAAAGGAUUCUAUUCUUCUAUUCCAUGGACCCU
Molecule: long non-coding RNA, 930 nt
Organism: Mus musculus (house mouse)
Lineage: Eukaryota; Metazoa; Chordata; Mammalia; Rodentia; Muridae
Product: predicted gene, 53852
Exons: 3
Source: RefSeq, a predicted model, not a curated record